AGAAUUGACUAGUGAUUCAGGCGUAACACAUGCAAGUCGAGCGGUAGAGAGAAGCUUGCUUCUCUAGAAAACGGCGGACGGGUGAGUAAUGCCUAGGAAUCUGCCUGGUAGUGGGGGAUAACGUUGGGAAACGGAGGCUAAGACCGCAUACGUCCUACGGGAGAAAGCAGGGGACCUUCGGGCCUUGCGCUAUCAGAUGAGCCUAGGUCGGAUUAGCUAGUUGGUGAGGUAAUGGCUCACCAAGGCUACGAUCCGUAACUGGUCUGAGGGGAUGAGCAGUCACACUGGAACGGAGGCACGGUCCAGGCUCCUACGGGAGGGAGCAGUGGGGAAUAUUGGACAAUGGGCGAAAGCCUG
This 357-nucleotide ribosomal RNA is filed under the name uncultured bacterium. Its description in RNAcentral is "bacterial SSU rRNA". It matches the Rfam family "Bacterial small subunit ribosomal RNA", at positions 43 to 385 of the family's 1533-position model. The record is from RNAcentral.